RNAcentral lists this ribosomal RNA (439 nucleotides) under Embassichthys bathybius. Its description in RNAcentral is "partial 16S ribosomal RNA". It matches the Rfam family "Bacterial large subunit ribosomal RNA", at positions 1910 to 2490 of the family's 2925-position model. The record is from RNAcentral. Lineage: Eukaryota; Metazoa; Chordata; Actinopteri; Pleuronectiformes; Pleuronectidae.
GACCACAUAGUUCAACGGCCGCGGUAUUUUGACCGUGCAAAGGUAGCGUAAUCACUUGUCUUUUAAAUGAAGACCUGUAUGAAUGGCAUAACGAGGGCUUAACUGUCUCCUUCCCCCGGUCAAUGAAAUUGAUCUCCCCGUGCAGAAGCGGGGAUUAAACCAUAAGACGAGAAGACCCUAUGGAGCUUUAGACACACAGGUGGCCCAUGUCAAGCACCCCCUAUUAAGGGCCUGAACUAAAUGGUACCUGCCUUGAUGUCUUCGGUUGGGGCGACCAUGGGGAAUACAAAACCCCCACGUGGAAAGGGAACACACCCCUAAGUUACUUCUUCUCCCGCAAGCCAGAGCAACAACUCUAACCAGCAGAAAUUCUGACCAAACUGAUCCGGUAAAACCGAUCAACGAACCAAGUUACCCUAGGGAUAACAGCGCAAUCCCC